Non-coding RNA from Danio rerio (zebrafish), 1312 nucleotides. The record is from Ensembl. Lineage: Eukaryota; Metazoa; Chordata; Actinopteri; Cypriniformes; Danionidae.
UGACAGUCCUGCAAAGCAAAAGCAAAUCACUUCUCAGAGAUCUUAGGGCGAGGGAGGUAUAUAAAUCCACAAUUUAAAUCAGACCCAUUUAUACUUACAGGCAUGUACAUAUAACGAUAUAAACGGAGCACCACCGGAGGCCAGCCGGCAUAUGGGUCGAUCUCGAUUGGUCAGAGUAAAAACAAGCCCCUCCCCUCGUUUGUUGUAGGCAAUAUUUACAUGUUGAGCCAGAAAGUACAGUAAGUAAUGAAGACAAGCGACGCGAGCUAUCAUUCACCGUUUAAAGUGGCGCUUUAAGAGACGUAAUGACCUCGUUCUUCAACUGUUACCCAGGUGGGAACUUUAUGACUUUCACGGCCAACUACUGUCAGGAUCAGAGGGAAACUGCGGCCCCGUCUUAGCCCGGAGGCGCCCGGGAGAGACUGACGAGAAGCAUUUUGGAUCAUCAUGUCAACACCCGAUUAACCUCGGACAUGCUUCAAGGCGGCAGAGAUGCUGAUUGACCAGUACUGAGACACACAAAGUUUUCAGCAAACAACGCUCUGAACUGGAGGAGUUUCAAGUCAACAAGUACCUGGGCAAUUAUCAAGGAUUGUAAUAUAUGGCGUUGUGAUCCUGAAUGAGAUCCUGCCUCCAGAAUAUGUGAAUGAAGACCUGGCACUGAGUUUCACCAACUCCCCCAUUUGCUUUGUAACCACACAUUGCUCUCACUGUCCAAAUUAAAGUGCCAGGAGCUAAAUUAAAAGAGCAGUUCAUUCAAAUGUUACUAUGGUGUGGGUUUUUAUCAUGGAAACACGUUUAUUUAUUCGUGUUAUUAAGUGAUCAUUGAAGUAUUUUCAGCUUUUGAUUAAUUUAUAUAUUGCUUUAAUACUUCUAAAGUGGUUUUAAAUUGAUGGAUAUUUAUGUUGAGUAGUCUAUAACUAAAGUGAAUAUAGAAAAAUCCACACACUGACAUCUGAGUUUAUUAUUGCUGCCUUAAGUUACCCAACCCAAGUCAAUCAUUGUGCACUUUGUGUUAACAUUAUAAAAAUAGUAUUCAACUGUUAUUAUAAAUAAUAAUUUAACACCUGAACCGACUGCAGAAUGUAAGCAUCUCUCUAUGUGUGUCAGUUCAUUAUGCAGCCUCUUUUCCAGAGUGCCCAAAUCAACUGUUUAGUCUUCAAGGCGGUGAUGUGAUUAGCAGUAAUUCUCUCAGAGCAAAUGUGGUGACAUGUAUUGAGGACUGCAACACUGUAUUCCAGGCAUCGGAUGGAGAGAUUAAACCUGACAGAAUUAAAAUUGUGAUAACAAAUGGCAGGCUUGACAUUUCUUU